This 458-nucleotide ribosomal RNA is filed under the name uncultured bacterium. RNAcentral describes it as "partial 16S ribosomal RNA". It matches the Rfam family "Bacterial small subunit ribosomal RNA", at positions 338 to 795 of the family's 1533-position model. The record is from RNAcentral.
CCUACGGGUGGCAGCAGUGAGGAAUAUUGGUCAAUGGGCGAGAGCCUGAACCAGCCAAGUCGCGUGAGGGAGUACUGCCCUAUGGGUUGUAAACCUCUUUUGUCGGGGAGCAAAAGCCGGACGUGUCCGGCUGUGAGAGUACCCGAAGAAAAAGCAUCGGCUAACUCCGUGCCAGCAGCCGCGGUAAUAAGGGGGAUGCGAGCGUUAUCCGGAUUUAUUGGGUUUAAAGGGUGCGCAGGCGGAUUUUUAAGUCAGCGGUAAAAUCGUGGGGCUCAACCCCAUCCAGCCGUUGAAACUGGGGAUCUAGAGUGUGCGAGAGGUAUGCGGAAUGCGUGGUGUAGCGGUGAAAUGCAUAGAUAUCACGCAGAACCCCGAUUGCGAAGGCAGCAUACCGGUGCACAACUGACGCUCAGGCACGAAAGCGUGGGUAUCGAACAGGAUUAGAUACCCUUGUAGUC